GAAUAUAAAAGUGAUUCGAUAGAACACACAGAACAUGUUGCUAUUACAAUACGGCAACGAAUAACAAAGUUCUGGCUCCAUACGAUAGUCAGCAUUGUAUUUAUUUCAACAAAGAGAAAAAAACAAAACACUUCUUACCUAAGCUUGCAGUAGUUCUAGUUCUCAAAACACCAUUAUGGAUAGAGAAUAUAUGCAUAAAAGUCCACGAGAACAACAUAGGGCGACUCGAGCAUAGCUCGUACUAACUUCCUAAACGGCGCUCUUCUACCAGUGUUCUCUACUGGUAGUUCCUCCCUGGCCCGUCCCUGCCCUCGUAGGGAGGAGGGGCGGCGUUGUUGUAGUUACCGCCACCUUGGUAGCCUGGGUUACCACCUGGUUGGCCCUGGUAGUCUGGUGCACCACCACCAUAGCUAGGACCACCGCCUUGGUAGGGAGGAGGCUGGUUGCCACCUGCAAAAGGCGGCAGCGGGUUGCCUCCUGGCGCUCCACCCUGGUAUCCAGGGUUGUUGCUAUGGUAGGCUGGGCCGGGUCCAUUGUGCAUGUUGCCACCAGGAUUACCCUGGUAACCUUGGUUGCCAGCUUGGUAGCCAGGGGCUGGGGCACCUCGGUAUCCAGGGGGUGGUGGUGCAUUUGGAUAGUUUGGUCCACCUCCUGCAGCAUAGCCUGCCUGUGGGUUUGGUGCAUGGGGCUGGUAAUUUGGUGGAGCACCUGAAGGCGGCGGCGGGCCCUGUGCACCGCGACUUGGAGGAGCAGCAUCAUGGGGUGGCAUUUGGUUUGGAGGCCCACUCUGGUAGGCCUGUGUGUUCUCCCUUCUCCUUUCAAAGUUCCUCGACCUGUCAAAGUUGCGAGGCCUGUCAUUGCGCCGGGAUCUUUCAUUGGCACGGGCAUUGUUUCUCACCCACUCCUCAUGGUAUUUGGGGUCGUAAGGAACAGCUUGUCCAUCUAUAAAUGGUUCUCCUGAAAUACAAGAACAGGCAUCAGAUACACUCUCUUUACAUAUGGACACUGAUGAAAACUGGAAAAAGUGCACAAGCUCAAAUAAUCCAGGGAAGAAACGGCAAUGUUAAAAGCUGCCACCUCAAGGGGCUCAAAUUGCCAGGACAGAAUGACAAACACUUGAUACUAUAAAUCGUCUUGCACAAAGCGCUCGACAGGCUAGAUAGUCAUACAGAUUUGCAUUUUUAUCUUAGGAUAUAACCCUUGUCUUAUACUGUACUAGGAUAUAUAGUUCUAGGAGGACGAUGCAUACUUUAAACAAAAGCUGGAAACUACAGAAGCGCUAUCAUAUAGCUCUCAUAUCAAUUUUAAGUGUACUCCGUUAUAUUCAGGUUUCAUCAGAAGACAGAAGUUUGUAGUUUCUACCGUUACCAAAAAGUUACAGGGGCCAACAUAAGCUCAUACUUCAAUUAAAAAUUAACGAAGUUGUCACCAAACACCAUUUCUUUCAGUUGAAAAGAUAUUUUACAUACUGGUUACAUCCUUUACUAUAUACUGUAGGAAUGAAGAUACAGAGAGCAGUCAAGAUUUAACUCAAAUACUAGAAAACUCCACGGUAACAACAAUGAGGUGUUCAUCACCAAACAGAUAAAUGCUUAGCUAUAAAUCAACGGGGUACAGAAGCAAAUCAGCAGAACAAACAAGAUAACAAUGAUGAUCAUUGAUUAAUAAAUGCAAAAAUAUUCUGACAGGAUAACAAUAUUAACCUUUUGAGUAACAAUACAAUUCCUAAAAUGCACGUGCUACAGGAAAUUACAACAUCUAGGAAAAGUAUUAUAUAGGGAUUCUGAAAAUUCCUAGAUCUAGAACAUGCAAUUAAGAUAAUCAUAACACAACAUCAUAGCAGCAGCACAGAGUGGUAAAUCUAUUACCUCGUCAGGGGAAAGAGCAACAGGCAUUUAAAAUUAUUAUAAUGUGGUCAAUAUUCAGUCAGAUAGUACAUAAUCAUUACCUCCAUAGUCCUUAUUUCUGACAUCCAGGUAUGAAUCAGGAAGAACCCAACGGACUUUAGGCAACUCUGAAAACAAUAAUUUAGGGGCAUUUAACACAAGAUCAUUUUAAGUCACCUUCAUAAAAAGAUCACAUACAAGACUUUUCAUGUAAUGAUCAAUACCUUUGAGUUUGUAGGAGAGUUCCUCAGAUACUAGGGCACCAAAAGCAAAAUAAUGCCUAGUUGACACAGAGUAGAUCUUCAUCCUUGCUUCGUCUUCACUGGAACGACAUAGGAUAGAUUUGAGAUACAGAUAUGUUAUAAAUAGCACAUAGAUGACUGAAAACACGUUUCAUGUUAAGACUGGAGACAAUUAAGACAUAAAGAAGAAUUAUGUUCUAUUCUCAUCAAACCAAUAAGUUGUUAUGGUCCAGAGGCAAACAAAAUUACUAAGAAAUGGUUAAACUGCAACAGAUGUCCACCAACGAAGUUAAUGAACUCACAGUUGUCUAGGUACCAAAAACAGAUACUAAGCAUGAUCCCCAAGUAAGAAUCACAAAUCAUAAAUGUGAAAGCAGCAUUUAAAUGAUAAAAUUGCACAAAAAUGAGAUAGGAACAACAGACACAUUAUCACUUCUCCAAUUCCGACUCAUAACCCAUGAAAUCAAUAAAAGAACCCCCGUAAGUGAAUCUACAAAAUAACCAAACUUCAACGACCAUCUACAAUUGAGUCUCUGCACCCACUAAUUUCCGAACACCCUAAAGCAUGUUGGUGCAUCAGAACGAUACCCAACCCACAUAGACCAUAUAAAUGAAUCCCCACUCUUGUCAUAACCAUACUCCCAUAGUCAAUAUUGCAUAUAAAAGACUAAGAACAACAAGCACGAUCUCUCAUACUGUGAUCAGAGCAUCAAACAGUCGUCUGUAUUCAACUAACAUAGCAAUUUCAAACAUCCAUGCGGUCAUUAUUGCUGCAUAAUAAAUUAAAAAAGCCCUGGUCAGGAACUGGUAAUUUCAAUCUCUGUACACACAAAGUGGAGGUAGUAUCACAACAGACGCUAGCACAACAUCCACUACACCACCUGACCAACACUCGCUAUUCCCCACCCCGAAUCCCCUCCGCCGAAUCCAGAUCCAAACAUACGCACCAUAAAACUACGCUGACGUGAUGAGCGCAUCAGUGCGGGAGGGGGGUGUGGUACGGUGAGCCAUACCUUCCGACGACCUGGGCGAGGGUCUUGAUGUACCCGUCGAUGAUCUCGUCGCGGGUGACAUCGGGGUUAGCGCCGUCGCCUGGGGGCGGCUCCAUGACGACGAGCCAGUGCUCGAAGUCGCAGCCGUCGAGGAGGAUCGUCUCCUUGGGCGGGCGGUUGCUCCAGUUCGGGGACGAGUCCCGCAGCGACGAGUUCGCGGGCUGCGUCGCGAAUCGCCUCGCCGCCGCCCAGGGCGCCGCGGCGGGGGACGGGACCAGCGCCGCCGGGAGGAGGCUCCCCGCGGCCGCGACCGGGCGGAGGAAGCGGGAGGCGGCGGCGUGGAGGGGCGAGGCCCUGGAGAGGAGGAGCGCACGCGACGCCGACGCCAUGGUGGAAAACCCUAGCGGGGAGGGGAUUGGGGAAAUGGGAUGGGGAGUGACCACGGGGUUUAAGGCUUCAGCGAGAGUGCGCGAUUUAUAGAGGGGCCCGUGUUUCGUUGAGGCCGCCGAAAUAUCUCCAUUCACUGGGCUUGGGCUAUGAAGAGUGUGAUCUGUUGUGUUAGGAAUAUGGGCCUCCAUGUGUAAUGGGCCACAAAAAAAGCUCGAUGCGAUUCGAUUUCGGCCUAGGAUCCAAGCCUUUCACGUGUUUUUGUGCCAAUCAACAAAUAACACAGCUUUGUCUAAAAAAAACAGCUCUGCCGCUCUGGCACCAUAGUCAGCAGUCAGCACUGUGUUUAUUUCGAUAUAAAGUGAACAAACAAUGAGCACGUACGAAAACAUAGUCAGCAUUGUAUUUAUUUCGACAAAGUGGGAAUACAAUGAGCACUUAGCUAAGCUUCUGGCAAUUCUAGUUCUCAAAACAGCACUAGGGAUUGAGAAUAGUAUACAUGCAUAAAAGUCCAUGAGAGCAACAAACGAGAGUACAAGACACGAGCAGAGCAUGUACGAACUUCCU
This 4074-nucleotide long non-coding RNA is filed under the name Triticum aestivum (bread wheat). RNAcentral describes it as "long non-coding RNA (TAES_LNC007569)". Lineage: Eukaryota; Viridiplantae; Streptophyta; Magnoliopsida; Poales; Poaceae. The record is from RNAcentral.